This 457-nucleotide ribosomal RNA is filed under the name uncultured bacterium. RNAcentral describes it as "bacterial SSU rRNA". It matches the Rfam family "Bacterial small subunit ribosomal RNA", at positions 340 to 786 of the family's 1533-position model. The record is from RNAcentral.
UACGGAAGGCAGCAGUGGGGAAUAUUGCACAAUGGGCGCAAGCCUGAUGCAGCCAUGCCGCGUGUAUGAAGAAGGCCUUCGGGUUGUAAAGUACUUUCAGUCGUGAGGAAGGUGUUAAGGUUAAUAACCUUAGCAAUUGACGUUAGCGACAGAAGAAGCACCGGCUAACUCCGUGCCAGCAGCCGCGGUAAUACGGAGGGUGCGAGCGUUAAUCGGAAUUACUGGGCGUAAAGGGCACGCAGGCGGUUAAUUAAGUUGGAUGUGAAAUCCCCGGGCUUAACCUGGGAAUGGCAUUCAAGACUGGUUAGCUAGAGUCUUGUAGAGGGGGUAGAAUUCCAUGUGUAGCGGUGAAAUGCGUAGAGAUGUGGAGGAAAUACCGGUGGCGAAGGCGGCCCCUGGACAAAGACUGACGCUCAUGUGCGAAAAGCGUGGGGAGCGAAAACAGGGAUUAGAUACC